AUCUUGAAAACGGAAAAUAAAAACAGCAGACCUAUGAAGGUCGAAGGGGAAGAAAAGCUGUAUCGAUUGUUGAGAUCUGGCGACUUGUUUAAAUUUCAUCAGCCUCACUUCUAUGAACUCUCAGAGCUGAUUACCAACUCCUACCACUGUUAACCCUCAUCCAGGAACAAGCUUAUGUCUUUAACAUUCUGAGUGGGCUUCAGCAUCCUUGCAUAUGUUCAAUUCUUAAAAACCUGUUGAAAUAAAAGAUCAGGAGACAUAGGAAGGAUGCCAGAAGAGAGCGUGGCCUCACGUGUACCAGCUCUCUGCUCUCCUUUGCCUUGGGACGUUCCAUCCCUGGAAGUUUCCCUGCCCACAUCUUUGUAGAGAGUCCAUUCUCCAAGCUUCAGUGUGUCAUCUGUGAGGACCGUGACCCACCUGGUACAUCGCCUCAGGGCAUUCAUUUCAGGCUCCUUCUAAAUGGCCAAGGAUCUUGGAAGCAGAGGGAUCUGCAGAAGUGCUUGCAACACUUUCAGCCUUAACCAGCAUCAGAGACAAAAAUCCUUUCUGGAAUGAGGUAAACCUCAGGUUCUCCUCCUGCCUUUUGCUAAGUAUAUGUCUUGAUGACAAGCCUUCUGCUGAUGAGCUGUGUUUCUGGACCGAUCAUGGUAGAAGUCAAUUAACGUGUCCCUCACUUGGGGUUUCUCAAGGCUGCACUGAUGAGGAAACUGAAACAGAAAAUCCAGAGUAAAUUCCACCAGGCCACACAGCAAGGUCUGAUAGAGCCAGGAGAGACUUUAUGAAAUCCAGACUCUCACACUAAUGCUCUAUCAGCUAGACCUCCAUGUGAGUCUCCCCAAUGUAGGUAGGAAGUGCUUUCCCUAAAAUGCUCAUAAAGCAAAUCAGAGCAAUGCUGCAUUCCAUGUGAUUUCUAAUUUGAAAUGCAAACAAUUGCCAAUUUGUUUGACUUGUAUUUAUAAUUAUUUCCUUGUGAAUUACUCAUCACUAAAUGCUUUAUAAAUAUUUUCUCUUUUUUUCCUCAAUGUCUAUGGAAUGAUCACAGCAUAGAAAAUGUUGGCUUUCAAGGAUUUAUUAAUAUCUCCUUUUGAAAUAACAUGUAUUUGUAAGACAGAAUAAAAUCACUUUAAAGAAACAAA
Molecule: long non-coding RNA, 1136 nt
Filed under: Homo sapiens (human)
Lineage: Eukaryota; Metazoa; Chordata; Mammalia; Primates; Hominidae
Description: testis expressed 41
Source: RNAcentral